This is a long non-coding RNA of Panicum virgatum (switchgrass), 950 nucleotides long. RefSeq lists it as uncharacterized. The record is from RefSeq and is a predicted model, not a curated record. The transcript has 2 exons. NCBI's taxonomy places the organism in Eukaryota, Viridiplantae, Streptophyta, Magnoliopsida, Poales, Poaceae.
GUGGCCAGAUUACCCGAAACUCGAUCUCCGAACCCAAAAAACUCGAGCCCGAAAAAUCCGAUCGGAUUUCAAAUCACGGUACUGAAUAAAUCGAAUAGCAGACCACGGUACCCGAAUUAUUCGAAUAAUCUGAAAAUCAACCCAGCCCACGAAGCCAUUUUAUCCCUGUCCGAGUAACCCUACCCCAGUCCAAAUAAUCCUAGCAUGCUGCCCCGUCCCCAGCCCCCCACGCAGAACCUCGAGAAGCUGUGGCGGCGCAUCUCGUCUCGAACUAGGCGACUCGACGGACGCUGCUAGCCCGCCACCGGCCACCGUGGCACCGCCCACCAGCAGCAUGAGCGCAACUACGCGACGGCCUCCUCGAGCUGCAGGCCAGCAACGCGCCAGCACCUCAUCUUCUCCAGCGCGCCAGCAGCGGGGCGUCCAGGCGCCGAGGAUGGGCGGGGCGUCGACGCCGGAGGCGGCGCGGGGCUUCCAGGCUUCCAGCGCUGGGUGAUGGCGGAGGAUGUGCGGGGCAUCGGCGCUGGGCGUCCGAGCGCCGAGGACCGUCGCCGCCACCGCUAGCUAGGUUGCAGGCAGCAGAUCGAGAGAGCGGAAUGCAUGCAUGUACGGAGUCAAUGGAAGAAGAGACUCGCUCAACAAUAACCGUCUAUGGACUUAGCCUCAGCAGCAGCUAGCUCAGAACAUCGAUCGCUCAGCUGCACGUACGUACACCACAGCUUCCAGAUCGAAGACGAAGAAGCGUCGUUUAGCCUGCUAGCUAGCUGCUGCUGCCGCCGCCAUUGACACCCUCCUCUCAUUCAUCGCACUAGCUAGCUUUGACCUAGUCAGCUACUAGCUGUUUCCUUGCUUUCCAAUAACCUUUUCUGUUAAAGUAAUUUCAAUUCCAUCCUUUGUUAUGUGUAUAAUUAAUUGUUAUACUAACCUGUAAGGAUACGAUCGAACGGUCA